Alosa sapidissima (American shad) is the source of this 2613-nucleotide long non-coding RNA. RefSeq lists it as uncharacterized. The record is from RefSeq and is a predicted model, not a curated record. Lineage: Eukaryota; Metazoa; Chordata; Actinopteri; Clupeiformes; Clupeidae. The transcript has 2 exons.
AGCCUGUCUUUUCUUAGUCCUAGAAUUCUUUUCCAUGUUAAGUAUGUGUCAGAAGGCCACAUUACCUAGCCUUAAUUGUUGGUCUAUACUUCUGUACUUCACCGGUGAAAUUAAACUUUGGUACAUUAAACUCUUAACCUACCAAAUCCUUUCAGUAGUACUCCAAAUACAUUUUACUUUAAGAACGCAGUUGUUUAUUCAUUAAAAAAACAUGUCUGCAUCUUUUAAUACUGAUGCCAUCAGCGCAGCCAUCAGUUGUAUAGAAAAAUGCUGCGGUGGUGCUCUGCUGUCUGUCAUCGUAUAAAAGCUCGUAACAGAAAAAAAAAAAAAAAUUUUGGAGACCAUUCCAUGAGUGUGCUCUCAGACUCGUCUGGUUCUCACAUCAAACCACGUUGUCUACUAUCCCUUACUUAAUCAUCAUAGGUCAUAAGGUGCAUAUCCGACUCUAGUGAGUAUGAAAGCUAAAGUGCUGGCCAUGUAGGCUAUCGAAUGAAAAAUGUCCAUUAGACAGGGUCAUCUCAUCUCAUUAUCUUGGACCAUUUUGGAAUGCAAAUGGCUUAAUGGCAUAAAGGGAUAUUCCACCAUUUGGGGAAUUACACUCAUUUUCCACCCCCCCCCCCCCCCCCCCACCCCUUGAGUUAAGAAAUUGAUUGUUGAAGUGACUAAGAUUUCCGGUAAUUAUCCUCAUUCCUCAUGAGGCAGUAAUAUAUAUGGAUUAUGAGUGAAGAUUUGAUCUGAGACUUUUAUUACCAUUUCAGUAUGGCACAGAUAUAAGUUGUUAGAUAAGUCAAAAGUAGGACGAACUGGACAGAAGUGCAUGUUGAGUUGGAGCAGAUCACUUUUGAAGUCAAACUACAGUUUUAGAAAAUGUUUGGGUUUAAGGGAAGAUAAAUUGCACAGAAAAAUCAAAUAAAGAGGUGUUGAUAAUUCACUAGCAAAUAAGGGCAUCCAAAGGGCAGAGAAAACGGGUGAACCGAUAGAUUAUGACCCUGCUUGUUUAAACCGCAUGGCGUCACAUAUGCGACGCAGCACUGAAAUCACAAGUGCCUAAUCGAACUCUACACAGGAAAAGAAGCUAAAAAGGCCACGGUAAAAGUUUGCUGGAAGACUAACAACUGCGAACAUUCGUGGAAAUAUCGUGCAGAACUGACUAAAUCUACAAAGACUGGAGAGGCAGCCAGUUUUCUUCCUAGUGACAAUCAAUUUCUAGUAGCCUAACAACCAAUUCCUAAUUGAAACUAAUCCUUGCCAUCAAUUCACUGCUGUCCAUGGAAAAUGCAAACUGUGGAAAUAAGCUGCUGAAAUCUAAAUAAAAAGAAAAAAAGAGGAAAAGGAUACAACUGAGUGGAAUCCAGUUUUAUUCUCCAUGUCGAUUAGUCAAACUCCUUUUUCAAGUUGACGAACCCUGAGCAUCUACUUGACAGUCAUUUGUGUGUAUUUUACAGUCAAUGACAAUGUAUACAAUGACAGUCUAAUUCACUUAUUUGCAUAACAGUGGAGUUUAGUUAGAUAGUUUACAUACACAUCCCCUGUACAGUGUCUGGACGAUACUCUGUAGUCUGUUUGCCUGGAUGGGGCCCAAUGGGGCGGCUCUGUGUGAGCUAGCCAGGAAUGGUAGUGUCAUCAGACAAGCGGAGUGGACUGUGUCUAUAAACCCCAACAACUGGUCUUGACCAUUCCUCACACACAACCAAUCCAUGAAGGGAAGUACCGUUGUAAGGUGCGCUCGAAUGUAGGAGCAACGAAAUCCUACUCUCACCUGAAUUUACAAGAGUGCCACCACAGUCUCCAUGUCCACAGCCGUGAUGGAAACUCGACGUGCCGCGCCAGAGGCGUCUACCCAGAGGCCCACAUCCACUGGUUCCAGGGGUCCAAGAACCUGACCAACUCCUCAGUGGCCCACCCCAGCGUACGGGACGAGGACGGCACCUAUGAGAUAGCCAGCACACUUCUCCACCGGCCCCACUCCACUCUGAACUGCUCCCUGUGGAGCCCGAGCUCUGGGAGAUACCUCAGCAGCACAAGGACGCGUGAAGAGAUGACGCCUCCGAGAGCUCCAGGGCGAACAGUUAUGGAAGCACCGGAACAAUCAGGACUGUUUUGGCAGCGGCGGCGUUCACCCUACAUUGGGACAUGUGUAAAUACUGAUGAGAGUUCACAGAAAUAUCCAACCGUAAACCCGUAAAGCCCCAAAGAGAGUAGUGAGAUCAGCUGAACGUACCUCCAGGUGUGCACUACCCAACCUUCAGGAAUCUUACAUCAGGAGAUGUCAGUUCAGACUAAAGAAAAUCAUCAGACAUCCCAAUCACCCCAACAACUGUCUCUUCUCUGUCCCCCACUCUCGGAAACGUUACCGCUGGCUGAAAGCCAACACUGAGAGAAUGCGGAAACGUUUUUAUGCCCAGCUCUCCGGAUUCUGAAUGAGGACUGUAGCUGGAGCACAAGCACAUGCUGAAAACAUCUCAUGCACUGUGGACAUUUCUUUCUACUUCUCUUCUUUUCUGUUUGUUUCCUUAUUGAUACACACAUUGCACAUGGAGUCAGUGGACAAAGCAUUUCACUGCAUACACUUUGUAUAAUUGUAUGUGAUAAAUAAAUUUGAAUUUGAGGUGA